Non-coding RNA from Microcebus murinus (gray mouse lemur), 491 nucleotides. The record is from RefSeq and is a predicted model, not a curated record. NCBI's taxonomy places the organism in Eukaryota, Metazoa, Chordata, Mammalia, Primates, Cheirogaleidae.
CAUAUGCAGUUUGUUACCGGUAGAUGGCCCCUGCCUGACCCCCGUUACACGCUGGUGGUAUAAUAAAGAAACCAAGAACUGUUCCAAAUUCAUCUACAGCGGUUGUUGGGGGAACAAUAACAACUUCGAAACUGAAUCUAUGUGCAUGGGCACCUGCCAUAAAAACAACUGAUCCCUCUGGAUGAGAUAACCAGGAGCCACAGGACCUCCAGGGUUCAGCUCGUCGUGGUCCAGGGCUCUCUCCGUGUGUGCCUUACAGAUGUUCCAUGUCGGCUGCCACCAGCCAAAUCUCAGCCUCCAAAACCUUGGCAGGUCCAAAACCAGGAUUUGCUUACUCCGUUUCCUUCAGCUUGGCUUCUCUUCAAACAUAAUGCCCUACCCCCUUUGACCUCUUCUCAGUGUGAGACCCUAUCUCUUCAACUUUCAUGGCCCCCAUUUAUCCCUUUGAAGCCUCCAGUUCCCCCUAAUAAAGUGCUCUGUGAGGUCUGGUC